Molecule: ribosomal RNA, 492 nt
Filed under: uncultured bacterium
Lineage: Bacteria
Description: partial 16S ribosomal RNA
Rfam family: Bacterial small subunit ribosomal RNA
Source: RNAcentral
AGUGAACGCUGGCGGUAGGCCUAACACAUGCAAGUCGAACGGCAGCACAGUAAGAGCUUGCUCUUACGGGUGGCGAGUGGCGGACGGGUGAGGAAUACAUCGGAAUCUACUUUUUCGUGGGGGAUAACGUAGGGAAACUUACGCUAAUACCGCAUACGACCUACGGGUGAAAGCAGUGGAUCUUCGGACCUUGCGCGAUUGAAUGAGCCGAUGUCGGAUUAGCUAGUUGGCGGGGUAAAGGCCCACCAAGGCGACGAUCCGUAGCUGGUCUGAGAGGAUGAUCAGCCACACUGGAACUGAGACACGGUCCAGACUCCUACGGGAGGCAGCAGUGGGGAAUAUUGGACAAUGGGCGCAAGCCUGAUCCAGCCAUACCGCGUGGGUGAAGAAGGCCUUCGGGUUGUAAAGCCCUGUUGUUGGGAAAGAAAAGCAGCAUGUUAAUACCCCGCUGUUCUGACGGUACCCAAAGAAUAAGCACCGGCUAACUUCGUG